UACGUAGGGUGCGAGCGUUGUCCGGAAUUACUGGGCGUAAAGGGCGCGUAGGCGGUCUUGCAAGUCCUGUGUGAAAUCCCUCGGCUCAACUGAGGAACUGCACAGGAAACUGCUUGGCUUGAGUUCGGGAGAGGGAAGCGGAAUUCCGGGUGUAGCGGUGAAAUGCGUAGAUAUCCGGAGGAACACCGGUGGCGAAGGCGGCUUCCUGGACCGACACUGACGCUGAGGCGCGAAAGCUAGGGGAGCAAACGGG
RNAcentral lists this ribosomal RNA (253 nucleotides) under uncultured bacterium. RNAcentral's name for it is "partial 16S ribosomal RNA". It matches the Rfam family "Bacterial small subunit ribosomal RNA", at positions 524 to 776 of the family's 1533-position model. The record is from RNAcentral.